AACUUUCAACAACGGAUCUCUUGGUUCUCGUAUCGAUGAAGAACGCAGCAAAGCGCGAUAGGUAAUGCGAAUUGCAGACGUGAGUCAUUGAAUUUUUGAACGCAUAUUGCGCUAUUAGUUUGUCUAAUAGCAUGCUUGUUGGAGUGAUAAU
Molecule: ribosomal RNA, 151 nt
Filed under: Starmerella stellata
Lineage: Eukaryota; Fungi; Ascomycota; Dipodascomycetes; Dipodascales; Trichomonascaceae
Also listed under: 1 other name
Description: 5.8S ribosomal RNA
Rfam family: 5.8S ribosomal RNA
About the family: 5.8S ribosomal RNA (5.8S rRNA) is a component of the large subunit of the eukaryotic ribosome.
Source: RNAcentral